UGUGAUUGUAAUUCAAGUUGUAUGAGUUGUUGACUUUUAUAUAAUUGGCUACUUGAAUGAUUGUUAUCAUUUUUUUUGUAAUCUGCAUGUAUUUCUAGUCCCACUGACUCAACAAACAUAAUAUCGGAUAUGGCAUUUUUUUAUACGACUGCAAAAAUUAAAAAAUUUUUGGUUCUAUAUUGGUAUGACGUUGGCAUCGUCGUCGUCGUCCGAAGACAUUUGGUUUUCGCACUAUAACUUUAGUAUAAGUAAAUAGAAAAUCUAUGACAUUAACACAAGCUUUAUGACCAUAAAAGGAAAGUUGGGAUUGAUU
Molecule: long non-coding RNA, 313 nt
Filed under: Mytilus galloprovincialis (Mediterranean mussel)
Lineage: Eukaryota; Metazoa; Mollusca; Bivalvia; Mytilida; Mytilidae
Source: RNAcentral